Molecule: non-coding RNA, 159 nt
Organism: Aspergillus terreus NIH2624
Lineage: Eukaryota; Fungi; Ascomycota; Eurotiomycetes; Eurotiales; Aspergillaceae
Source: Rfam
GACAAGAUGGCCGAGUGGUCUAAGGUCCGUUGACCUCGUGCCCAAUAGUAGACCCCUGACGUUAAGCUAACCAAUAAUGGAAUAGGCGCUGGUCUUAAGAAGCUCUUCUUGAGUUCCAGUACGCAUUUGCGUGCGCGAGUUCGAACCUCGCUCUUGUCA